RNAcentral lists this long non-coding RNA (1401 nucleotides) under Nothobranchius furzeri (turquoise killifish). RNAcentral describes it as "lncRNA (ENSNFUG00015016916.1)". The record is from RNAcentral. Lineage: Eukaryota; Metazoa; Chordata; Actinopteri; Cyprinodontiformes; Nothobranchiidae.
AUGUUCUUCAUCCCGCUCCUGCCCGCUCCCACUGAACUUCUGACCAUUACUGCCCGCAACCGCAGUGUGCAUGUCCACAACCGCCCGCAACCGCAGUGUGCACGUCUACUCCCGCCCGCAACCGCAGUGUGCACGUCUACUCCCGCCCGCAACCGCAGUGUGCACGUCUACUCCCGCCCGCAACCGCAGUGUGCACGUCCACUCCCGCCCGCAACCGCAGUGUGCACGUCCACUCCCGCCCGCAACCGCAGUGUGCACGUCCACUCCCGCCCGCAACCGCAGUGUGCAUGUCCACUCCCGCCCGCAACCGCAGUGUGCACGUCUACUCCCGCCCGCAACCGCAGUGUGCACGUCCACUCCCGCCCGCAACCGCAGUGUGCAUGUCCACUCCCGCCCGCAACCGCAGUGUGCACGUCCACUCCCGCCCGCAACCGCAGUGUGCACGUCCACUCCCGCCCGCAACCGCAGUGUGCACGUCCACUCCCGCCCGCAACCGCAGUGUGCACGUCCACUCCCGCCCGCAACCGCAGUGUGCACGUCCACUCCCGCCCGCAACCGCAGUGUGCACGUCCACUCCCGCCCGCAACCGCAGUGUGCACGUCCACUCCCGCCCGCAACCGCAGUGUGCACGUCCACUCCCGCCCGCAACCGCAGUGUGCACGUCCACUCCCGCCCGCAACCGCAGUGUGCACGUCCACUCCCGCCCGCAACCGCAGUGUGCAUGUCCACUCCCGCCCGCAACCGCAGUGUGCAUGUCCACUCCCGCCCGCAACCGCAGUGUGCACGUCUACUCCCGCCCGCAACCGCAGUGUGCAUGUCCACUCUCGCCCGCAACCGCAGUGUGCACGUCCACUCCCGCCCGCAACCGCAGUGUGCAUGUCCACUCCCGCCCGCAACCGCAGUGUGCAUGUCCACUCUCGCCCGCAACCGCAGUGUGCACGUCCACUCCCGCCCGCAACCGCAGUGUGCAUGUCCACUCCCGCCCGCAACCGCAGUGUGCAUGUCCACUCUCGCCCGCAACCGCAGUGUGCACGUCUACUCCCGCCCGCAACCGCAGUGUGCACGUCUACUACCGCCCGUAACCGCAGUGUGCACGUCCCCUCCCGCCCGCAACCGCAGUGUGCACGUCCACUCCCGCCCGCAACCGCAGUGUGCACGUCUACUCCCGCCCGCAACCGCAGUGUGCAUGUCCACUCUCGCCUGCAACCGCAGUGUGCACGUCUACUGUCGCCCGCAACCGCAGUGUGCAUGUCCACUCCCGCCCGCAACCGCAGUGUGCAUGUCCACUCCCGCCCGCAACCGCAGUGUGCAUGUGCUCUCCCACCCUCAACUGCGGUGUGCAUGUCCACUCCCGCCCGCAACCGCAAAACUCGGAGAAAUAAUUACCUCACAAUAAAAUAG